GGCAUGGUGGCUUAAUGGUUAGGCUGCCUUACACCCGCAGGGUUAGAGGUUCAAAUCCUGCCUCUGCCC
Molecule: non-coding RNA, 69 nt
Organism: Ameiurus melas (black bullhead)
Lineage: Eukaryota; Metazoa; Chordata; Actinopteri; Siluriformes; Ictaluridae
Source: the annotation of a GenBank genome assembly